GUGUGUGUGUGUGCGCGCGCGUGGUUCGUUCGGUGUCUCCAGGCUACUGACCAAGUACCGAGGGCUUCAUCUAUCUAAAAGGAGUUUUUUCCAUCUGAAUGUGGCAGCAACGGGACACAGCAGCAGAGCGAGUCAACAUCCAGAAGACUGGAGCCGUGUUUCACUGACAGGCUGUCAGACUAACGCCCUGAUGAGCUCAGCUGGGACAAACUGGUCUGAUGUUUAGGAACACAGAACGUUCAGAUGUUGAAGCUUCACGUCACCUACUGAGGAAGGAGACCCACCAGUAAAGAGACGGUCUGGACCAGACCAAAAAUAUGGCGAUGACAUCAUGGAACUGGUCUUUGGAAAAGUUUUCCCUGAACCAACUCCGUUUCUAGAUGAGGUAGAGAAGAUCUGCAUCUCACCAACCCUCUGGUCUCAGUAUUCAGACAACGGAGGUCUCCCACUGUUAUCCAGGACCAGUUUGAAGCCCACAUACUGCCCCUCCCUCAUCAUCAGGAAACAUCAAUCCGUAUCCUGAGGACAACAGAAGACGGCAGGAGGACAGGAACUCUGAGACCUAGAUACCACCAGCACCGGCACACAAAGCACCUGUGUGCACAACGCCUGUUUAACUACUAAAGCCUGUUUAUUAUAUUGUUCUACUUAUUUGCUGUGAGGUUAAUACUUAGAAAAUUUGUAUAUUAAUGUAAACAAUAAAAAAAUCACUGAUUGUAUGUUUUCUUUUAGAUGUAAUGGUCCAAACUCAGCCUUGUAGACAUUUAUUGCAUCCUGUAGGUAAAUACACAGAACAGGCUCAGAUCCAGGAUGACCCAGCAUGCUCUUCUUCCAUUCUGGCUGUUAGGGAUUGUAUCAAUAACUCAAUGCCUACUGAUGUUUUCACCUAACGGUAUUUAUUUAGAAUGCAGGUCAGAUUUAACUAUAUUUGUUAGCAAAGCAGACUGAUCUUGGGAAUUUCACUGCAGCACUGAUGUCCACCUGUGUGUACACAUUAGAGAGAAUUACCACUUUACAGCUAAACACAUAUUUAAUAAAGAUAUAGGCUACGCAUUGCAGACAAUAAAAACAAAGUUGUAAGCAUUAGAAUUAU
Long non-coding RNA from Nothobranchius furzeri (turquoise killifish), 1093 nucleotides. RefSeq lists it as uncharacterized. The record is from RefSeq and is a predicted model, not a curated record. Lineage: Eukaryota; Metazoa; Chordata; Actinopteri; Cyprinodontiformes; Nothobranchiidae.